This 465-nucleotide ribosomal RNA is filed under the name Vreelandella stevensii. Its description in RNAcentral is "partial 16S ribosomal RNA". It matches the Rfam family "Bacterial small subunit ribosomal RNA", at positions 338 to 795 of the family's 1533-position model. Lineage: Bacteria; Pseudomonadati; Pseudomonadota; Gammaproteobacteria; Oceanospirillales; Halomonadaceae. The record is from RNAcentral.
CCUACGGGUGGCAGCAGUGGGGAAUAUUGGACAAUGGGCGAAAGCCUGAUCCAGCCAUGCCGCGUGUGUGAAGAAGGCCUUCGGGUUGUAAAGCACUUUCAGUGGGGAAGAAAGCCUUGGGGCUAAUACCCUCGAGGAAGGACAUCACCCACAGAAGAAGCACCGGCUAACUCCGUGCCAGCAGCCGCGGUAAUACGGAGGGUGCGAGCGUUAAUCGGAAUUACUGGGCGUAAAGCGCGCGUAGGCGGUCUGAUAAGCCGGUUGUGAAAGCCCCGGGCUCAACCUGGGAACGGCAUCCGGAACUGUCAGGCUAGAGUGCAGGAGAGGUAGGUAGAAUUACCGGUGUAGCGGUGAAAUGCAUAGAGAUCGGGAGGAAUACCAGUGGCGAAGGCGGCCUUCUGGACUGACACUGACGCUGAGGUGCGAAAGCGUGGGUAGCAAACAGGAUUAGAUACCCCGGUAGUC